GUUUCUCCUCCCGCUGUUUGUGAAGCGCGCGCAGGUCAACGCCGAUCACUCGGCUUCUGCUGUUGAAGAUUCGGUUCUUGCGCUCAGCCUCCGCGGCCCGACGCCGCUCCACCGCCCGCAGCGCAGACUCAUCCACGGAGAGAAAGAUGCUGAGCUGAAUGAGAAAUGGCCACAGUGUAUCAAGGCCAAGGAGAAUACUGGCGAGGCAGGAGUUUGAGGAAUGGGUGGAAGAGUCAAGGCUGAGAUUUGACACUGGAGGAGAACCAGGUCAGUCGAACCUGAAUAAAAAAAUGCAAGCAUGUCCAUAAAUUUCAGUGUUUCAUUGUACACUAUUCUUAUAUCAGGUGAAGCAGUAUCACAGGCUAAAGGAGGAGACCAGCCAAAAUAAAACAGAAGAUUCUUGAGAUUGAGGAAAACCAAAAGUGCAUUGAAAAGCUGGAGGACUAUAUUGCAACCAGCAGGUGUUUCAAAGAACAUUAUAAAACUGAUAGUUUCAGGUCUAAAAAGAGAUUUUCUUUGUUGAUAUAUGCCUAUAUGUAUGUGUACAAUAUGUGGGAAACAACAUAUGCAAUAAUUAAUAUUAGAUACAUAUGAUUGUUUUGAAAGGAAAACCUUUUUUUUCAGCAGGGAUGCACU
Molecule: long non-coding RNA, 636 nt
Organism: Cyprinus carpio (common carp)
Lineage: Eukaryota; Metazoa; Chordata; Actinopteri; Cypriniformes; Cyprinidae
Exons: 3
Source: RefSeq, a predicted model, not a curated record